RNAcentral lists this ribosomal RNA (520 nucleotides) under uncultured Glomus. RNAcentral describes it as "SSU rRNA". It matches the Rfam family "Eukaryotic small subunit ribosomal RNA", at positions 569 to 1088 of the family's 1831-position model. The record is from RNAcentral. Lineage: Eukaryota; Fungi; Glomeromycota; Glomeromycetes; Glomerales; Glomeraceae.
AGCAGCCGCGGUAAUUCCAGCUCCAAUAGCGUAUAUUAAAGUUGUUGCAGUUAAAAAGCUCGUAGUUGAAUUUCGGGGUUAGUAGGUUGGUCAUGCCUCUGGUAUGUACUGGUCUCACUGAUUCCUCCUUCCUGAUGAACCUUAAUGCCAUUAAUUUGGUGUUUUGGGGAAUUUGGACUGUUACUUUGAAAAAAUUAGAGUGUUUAAAGCAAGCUAACGCUUGAAUACAUUAGCAUGGAAUAAUGAAAUAGGACGUUCGAUCCUAUUUUGUUGGUUUCUAGGAUUGACGUAAUGAUUAAUAGGGAUAGUUGGGGGCAUUAGUAUUCAAUUGUCAGAGGUGAAAUUCUUGGAUUUAUUGAAGACUAACUACUGCGAAAGCAUUUGCCAAGGAUGUUUUCAUUAAUCAAGAACGAAAGUUAGGGGAUCGAAGACGAUCAGAUACCGUCGUAGUCUUAACCAUAAACUAUGCCGACUAGGGAUCGGAUGAUGUUAAAUUUUUUUAAUGACUCAUUCGGCGCCU